GAUGAACGCUAGCGGCAGGCUUAAUACAUGCAAGUCGAGGGGCAGCAGGACUGUAGCAAUACAGUUGCUGGCGACCGGCAAACGGGUGCGGAACACGUACGCAAUCUACCCAAAACUGGUGAAUAGCCCUCCGAAAGGAGGAUUAAUACACCGUAACGUAAGGAAGUGGCAUCACUCUCUUACUAUAGCUCCGGCGGUUUUGGAUGAGCGUGCGCCUGAUUAGGUAGUGGCGGGGUAACGGCCCACCAAGCCAGCGAUCAGUAACUGGUGUGAGAGCACGACCAGUCACACGGGCACUGAGACACGGGCCCGACUCCUACGGGAGGCAGCAGUAAGGAGUAUUGGUCAAUGGACGCAAGUCUGAACCAGCCAUGCCGCGUGAAGGAUGAAGGUCCUCUGGAUUGUAAACUUC
This 412-nucleotide ribosomal RNA is filed under the name uncultured bacterium. Its description in RNAcentral is "bacterial SSU rRNA". It matches the Rfam family "Bacterial small subunit ribosomal RNA", at positions 28 to 433 of the family's 1533-position model. The record is from RNAcentral.